CCUUUCCCAUUUUCCCCUCCCAUUUUCCCCACGACUCCAUCGAGGUAGGCCACCACUCCACGAGCAGACUAGCCCCUCCAUUGAACCCUCAAUCUCCACCUCCGCCGGCCUUCAUCGGAAGCUUAUUGCUGACCAAAGUCCUUCCUAAUGGCGGCCUCAACAGCGGCCGUUGGUGCGCAACGUACACCACGGGGAACUCCGGCCCCGCGCAGUACUGUGCGCUGGAACUCCCAGCGCCCAAAACUGCGCCGCUGCACAACGAUGGCCGUGGGUGACGAAGAGGACCGCGAUGGGCUGAUGGGCAGCGCAGCUGGGAGCUCACAGAUGGAGCGGCCACCUCCUGUUAAUUCCACCGUUGGAGACCGGCUGCAACGCCUUCUUAUCUCUUCUCUUACUCCCUCACCCUCUAGGAAUUUGGAGCCUAUUUCGAUUUUGACUCUUCUCCAGCAGUACGCACUGGCGGAGCUUGGCGCCGUUCUCCGCCGCAUGGCGGCCUGUACGUGUUUCGAAUACCCGCCGACUCUCCGCUUGCAGCCGCCAUGGAAGCGCCGCCCUCCAACCUUUUCAUCCACGGGAGGAGGAGACUGGGGCGGUGAUGCGCUUUAGUUCUUCUGUUCUGUUCGGUUGUAGUACAUGCAGAUGCAGGUGUGCCCUUCUCCACUUGACGUAGUUGAGUUGUUAUGGUAAAUCGCUUUGCAUCCCAUUCUCUAUAUCUUCAUGUUCAUAUUUGGUCAUACUUCCUGAUUGUAUCCUCUCUUUUUAAUCCCAGUAUCUCCCUUGGAUACUCAACUCCUAUAGUUUAAGAAAAAGAAACAUCCAUUAAAUAGUGAUAUCCGUGAGCAAUUAGUUUAUGUAUUAGAUCUGAUAAAAAAAUGAUACGAUAGCAGAUGGGCUUACAAUCUGGGACCUAUGGAUUAUUAAAUCGCUGCGAGUUCAGAUAUUUGGUCUUCAGAUAUACAUAGGAGCAUGUUUCACUGUGUCUUUCAAAUUUGAUUGUUCUUCCUGGAUUGCACAACUCUUGCUACAUAAAUUGUGUAAAUAUGUUGAUUUCUUUCCUGCAGUCUUGAUUAAUUUUUACCCACGUGGUUUCUCCUUGCAGCAUCAAGUGAGCCUGGUACAUCAAGUAUUAGCAUGUGAGUAUGUCCGUUUCUUUCCUGCGGUGUUAUUAACUUUUACCUACCGCUGGUUAUUUAAGCAGGGUAGGGUAAGAUCUUUCUAUCUCUGUUCUACUUUUGGAUCGAGAAGACAAAGAUGGCAUUGGUAGCACAACGGCAUGCACAUCAAAGUGAAUAUUAUUGUGUCAUUUUUUCCAUGUACAAAUUAGUACUUGCCAAUUUUUCUUGAGCAAUAAGAAUCUUUCUUGCGGUAUAUGUCUCAAGUUCUUAAAUGACAUUUUCUAGGCUGCUGAUGAUUCGGAUGCCUCUGUUGGUCGCUCCUCUUUGGUCAGUUCUCUGACUAUUGUUCUGGUUGUUUCUUCCCUUCAUUGUGCUUUGGCUAAUCUUGAUGCUUGGAGGCGAGAGAUUCGUCCGGUGUUCUGCUGGUACUGCUCUCUUUCUUCUCUUUGCAUACCAUUGAGUUGCUUCUGUUGUUAUUGUCUCAGUUUUGAUUUUGUUUUCUAUCUUGCAUAUCAACAAUGGAGUUGGUUUUCUACCAUUGAGUACCGAAUUAGCCACUUCUUUUCGAACCAUCAGGUCCGCUGUGGAGAGACUAAUUUAUCUCUGAAAUGGUACCGAUUAAUUAUUACUUCUACUUUUUAACAUGCUAUAAUCAUCGUAUAAAUAACCUGGUGUGAAAAGUUGUCUCUCUGGCAACUUACAUUUGUAAACCGUAUGGCGGUUUACUUUAGAUGAAUGUACCACCUCAUCAUUUUUAUUUUCUGCAGCUCUCAGCUGCAAUACUCUGUGUACUGUGACCAUGUAGCACUGUCAUUCUCAUUGGUGGAAUAAGAAGAAUAUUGAAUCAGGAUAGCAAAAGGGGUGUACUAUGAGGUUCUAGCCUAUUGUAAUCAUUUUCAAUCUGGUUCUGAUAUAAUAUACAUAAGUGGGAAGUGAAAUCUUAGGUCUUCGCAAUGUCUUACUGUUUCAAGGGUGAUUGUUUCGGAUCUGUUUACUACUGUAUCAUGGUGAACAUAUCAAUAGAAAAAGCACGCUGUAUCAUGGUGAACAUAUACAUAGAAAAAGCACGCAAGAAUUAGUAGUAGGAAGGAACAACCCUUUAGUUACUGAUGCAUACAAGGCACGAUUUUAUGACUAAUAAGUUCGUUUGAAAGUCAGUAGCAUGUAUGGAGUUGAUGAUCUUUGCAGUUAGUCGGAAUAAGUGCAUAACUUUCUACAUUUUUCAGAAAACAAAAGACAAGAAAAAUUCAACUGGAGCAGGUUACAAAAUUGGUUCCUCAAUUGCAAGAGCAAGAUUACGGUGGAUCUUUUCUUCCUUCAAGGUGUGCCUCUUUAUUUUAAUAAGGUCAUUGAGUAAAGUUGCUGCCUUCAAUUCAGAAGGUAUAUAAAUAGAAGAUGGAAGUACCCCAACGCACCGGCGGCAGUGCUGCACUGCUGCCAGGACAUGUGGGUUUGGUUUGGGCAAACACGCACUGGGCUCUUCCAUCUAGGAGGAAACAAGGCUUCUACAAAAGUAACAAUAAAGAAAGAAAACUGUAUCUUUUUUGUUGCACAAAUUGGUUCGACCAACUUCUCUUACUGCUAAUCCAAGCAUGUAAAGUUUUGUUUUCAGUUAUUACUCUACCAGGUAGUUUCCAUUUGUUUGAUAAAUGUACAGUUCUGAAUAUGGCAUAGGUACUUAUGUAUCUCUAAAAUAAGCUUAAAAGCUCACCCAUGUUCUUUUUUGUCUAAUUUUUUUUAUCAGAGUUUUCUUUGGUGACGUUCCAGGUUCUGGGAGCUGCAUACAGAAACAAGUAGGAAUGAAAUUUUCUUUUAGUACUAACCAAACAUGUUGACCUUUUUUCCAGUUACUUUACCAUGUAGAUUCCGUUAGUUUGAUUAUUGUAAAUGUACUUUUCUGGAUAUGGCAUAAAAAGUUCAUCUCGAAAAAUAAGCUUGAAGGCCACCCUGUUCUUUUUGGUCUAAUUUUUACUCAGUUGUUUUCUCAAGUGCAGCGAUUUUCUUCCUUAGGGACAGAACACUCCAGAUUUUGGUAACAACACGCCUACUCGCACGAUUAGAGUGCAAUGCAAAUUGACUAUAAUUGAAUUCUGUUCUUGCAACACACGAUUUGCUUAAAAAGUGCUAUCAUUUAUCCAAAUCUACCAUCAGUUCUCCCCAUAGAAUCGUAGUUACCUUGAGGAGGAGCGGCAUGAAUGGCUGACAAAGAAGUGCAGACAGGCCACCGUCAAGCUAGCUCCCGCCUGAGCUAUCAUUUCCCAUUAACAUCGCCUGCUGCACUGCCCUCGAUUCCUCUUCUUUCCCCAACGCCUUUCUUUUGCCUGCCCGCUUCCCGUUGCCCUUCUUGCAUAUGUUGCAUCGAAUCGACCACUUCUGGCGAACUUGGCUGUUGCUCCCCGCGCCGUGUUGGCGACUUCCGCCCAACCUUUCCUCCUAUGUUUCCUCAUCGUCUUGGCUCGCUGGCUGGGUCUAGCACCUGGACUGUUUGAAGAACCGCCGGUUUAGAUUUUGCGAGCCUGCCUAUUUCUCGGUGGCACGGCGACGACCUGAACCAAGCCUCACCUUUCUUCUCUUUUGCUCUGGUGGUUCGUGGCCAGCUCUAUCGCCUCGACCUGAUCGAUAAGAGGGGAAGCACUGCCAAUUUGGAAGGUAGCGAAUAGCAAACCCACAAAGGAUAGGUGGAGGAAAAAGGGACGAGUACAAUGCAAUGUGAAACACACCAUGUGUCCACUUAGUCUUUAUUUUGCUAACAACAAAUCAAGCUAAUUUUCAAAAAUUACCGGCACGGGCGCGGCGUGUCGCCGCGCCUACCUUCCUAGUGUCCAUUAAUAUCCACGUCCAAAUGUCCAAUGUAAUCCAAUCCAGUUGUGUCCAACAAAGAUAAGUCCAUAGUCCAUUGGACUAUGCUGAUCCAGUUCCAGAUUUACAGGCAGCUAUUUGUGCAGAUUUUAUUUUUAAAAUUAUUUGAUUAGUUUCUACACCUUCUGCAUAUCACAAGUUUGAAUUUAAUCGGAUGAAGUAAUCAGUUUUUUCAUCCAUGCCUAAUUCAUUACUCACUUCAGCAUCAAAGAAUACCGAUUUUUGUGGCUGCAGCAACUGCAAGUUGCAUGAUAUGCCAUUGUUCAUGUUCCUAUAAACUGGAUGGUGGAUGUUGAUAAGAGUUCCAGGAAUGAGGGAGCCACUCUCCUUGCUCACCUUGAUCUUCCAUUAUUUUUUGUCAGUUAGGUUUGAUGUCUAUCACCUAACUAGAUGGAUGUGGAAUUGUUCUACAGUAUUAAUCAUGUCAUCAUGUGUUGUUUCAGGCACGCCAUCGAUACAGGUCCAGUCAAACUAAAUUACCAUGUAUGUUCUCCACAUUUUCAUCUAAUGGUUUUAUGUCACUCUUUUGCGAAUGAUAUCACAUUUUCUUCUUAACGUGACAUUAUACCAUGCAAUUUAUUUGUCAGAUUAUAUUUUGAAAGCAUGUUCCAUGCUCAUUGCUCUAAAAUACCCUGUUCCUUUGUGUCAUAGAUAAAAAAAUGGGAUCCUAUUGCAAAACUGCAUACACACCUCUAUAUUAGCUUAUAAUAUGGUGCCUCCUUAUUGCUUCUACUUUGUUAGUUUGUUCCCACUCCUCAACAACAGGUCAAGAUCAGCAAAUAUGUUUUUUCCCGGAGUCUAAUGGGUGCGGCCAAAAUGCUUGAUGCAACACGAAUGAGGCACUGGGGAUUAGUGAAACUUGAGUACACAAAGAUUGAUGCAUUUUUAUUAUUGUUGAUGGUUUUCAUAUUUUCCUGCUAGUGCUUUUUCUCCUAAUAUAUUGAAUCAAGGAAAUUUGCUUUCUACGGUUUCACCAUCAGUAGACAUGAUUCAACUUUCCAUGCAAGGCUAUUUGCUGGUCACACACUCACACUGCAAAACCUGAGGUAUGGGAGCAAUUCUGCUCACAUGAUUGAUUGCAGUGCCAGACUGGGCUUCAAUCAAAGUUUUAUUUUGUUGCGUCCAGGUUAAAUGGCUGCACAAUCAAUCUGCGGCAAACAAUUUUCAGUGUUCAGUCUAUUUUAUCACUGAAUGAAGGUUGUCCAAAAUCAUAGAAGCAAUUGAAUCUAACAAGAAAGGAUAUUAUAACACUUUUACCAAUAAAAAUAUUAAAUUUAAUACUUAUCCUUUUUGUAAUGUUCUAUCGUUCUAUUUUGAGGUCCUGCCGGUGCUGGUCUGGUGAAGACAAAUCCGAUUCGCUUAUAUUAGCAUAGUGAUGCACGUUGGAUCUAAAAAAAAAAUCAUAUGGUUACAUGGCAAAGUAUAUUCCAAAGUCGUGCCAUUAUCUUUCUUGGUUAAUUUUGAAUACAGAGAUGUUUAUUCAAUUAUGUGACACAUUAGCUUUUGUUUUUUGUGUGUUUUGUUACAUAUUUUUUACUCAGUUCAAAGUACUCAUGUCGGCAUGUGAGAUCACCAUUGGUUAAUGUAUGUACAAUUUUUUACAUUCUGAAGUUCAAAUCAUGGCAUGUGUGUCUACUACCGAUAGAACUUCAAAAUAACCUUCUUCUUUGUUGCACGAUUUUUCUCAGUUUAGUUGUUUAAAUUGCCGCAACAGCGUGCGGGGUAUUAUCUAGUUGAACAAGUAAUGUUCCCUACGGUUAUCUACUUCCAUUUCAGUGUAUAGUAGAGAGAUGUAGAAAAGUUCUGAUGCUAUUUUUAAGCUUAUGAAAACAUGGCUAGUCUAAACAUGCUUGCUUGGUUGUAUCUGAUCUGUCGUUUGUUCAUAGAAGCCGAAUGAAUUUAACCAGUUUCUGGCUGCGCUUUACGAGAGGUUGAAGGCGGUGGAUGCGUUGUCAAGUUCUUUGAGCUCAUCACGUCCAAGAAUGUUUUGCUUAUAAGCAAAGAAGAAGCAUCUGGCAGAGAUGUGACGGAAGAGAUGGCGAGAAGCUUCUUGGUGAAAACAGAAGCAUCCUCUCAGUAGCAUCCACCAUGAUAGCAGCUGUGGUCUCUGCGAUGGAUUACGGUUUCACCAUCAGUAGACAUGAUUCAACUUUCCAUGCAAGGCUAUUUGCUGGUCACACACUCACACUGCAAAACCUGAGGUAUGGGAGCAAUUCUGCUCACAUGAUUGAUUGCAGUGCCAGACUGGGCUUCAAUCAAAGUUUUAUUUUGUUGCGUCCAGGUUAAAUGGCUGCACAAUCAAUCUGCGGCAAACAAUUUUCAGUGUUCAGUCUAUUUUAUCACUGAAUGAAGGUUGUCCAAAAUCAUAGAAGCAAUUGAAUCUAACAAGAAAGGAUAUUAUAACACUUUUACCAAUAAAAAUAUUAAAUUUAAUACUUAUCCUUUUUGUAAUGUUCUAUCGUUCUAUUUUGAGGUCCUGCCGGUGCUGGUCUGGUGAAGACAAAUCCGAUUCGCUUAUAUUAGCAUAGUGAUGCACGUUGGAUCUAAAAAAAAAAUCAUAUGGUUACAUGGCAAAGUAUAUUCCAAAGUCGUGCCAUUAUCUUUCUUGGUUAAUUUUGAAUACAGAGAUGUUUAUUCAAUUAUGUGACACAUUAGCUUUUGUUUUUUGUGUGUUUUGUUACAUAUUUUUUACUCAGUUCAAAGUACUCAUGUCGGCAUGUGAGAUCACCAUUGGUUAAUGUAUGUACAAUUUUUUACAUUCUGAAGUUCAAAUCAUGGCAUGUGUGUCUACUACCGAUAGAACUUCAAAAUAACCUUCUUCUUUGUUGCACGAUUUUUCUCAGUUUAGUUGUUUAAAUUGCCGCAACAGCGUGCGGGGUAUUAUCUAGUUGAACAAGUAAUGUUCCCUACGGUUAUCUACUUCCAUUUCAGUGUAUAGUAGAGAGAUGUAGAAAAGUUCUGAUGCUAUUUUUAAGCUUAUGAAAACAUGGCUAGUCUAAACAUGCUUGCUUGGUUGUAUCUGAUCUGUCGUUUGUUCAUAGAAGCCGAAUGAAUUUAACCAGUUUCUGGCUGCGCUUUACGAGAGGUUGAAGGCGGUGGAUGCGUUGUCAAGUUCUUUGAGCUCAUCACGUCCAAGAAUGUUUUGCUUAUAAGCAAAGAAGAAGCAUCUGGCAGAGAUGUGACGGAAGAGAUGGCGAGAAGCUUCUUGGUGAAAACAGAAGCAUCCUCUCAGUAGCAUCCACCAUGAUAGCAGCUGUGGUCUCUGCGAUGGAUUCGGGUGGGAACAUUUUGUGGUUUCAAAUUCUCCUGCGCCACCAGCAUGAACGCUUGCCUGCGAGGGAAUGUUGGGACCUAAGCCGUGGAGGUGAUUGACUGGCUUUGAAUCCAACAAUUGUAAAUUGUGGUGUUGAUGAUUUCUGAUGGAUAAAACAUAUUCGUAUGGCCCACGAGUACUUCACCUUUCGUAUCUAAACACUCUAAUGAAAUAUCCCAGAGUUAGUGAGGCCUAGUUUUGUCAAGACCCAAUGCUUCAAGGCGUCAAGGUAAUAACCAUAUCCGUUCCUUCACCGGGAAAGAAAGAUGUCGGAAGAACCAUAUUCACCUUCUGAUCAAACAAAGAGUGUUCAAUUGCAAUGUUAAGUUAUUACCAAGAAAAGAGAAAUUUCUUAUUCUAAAG
This is a long non-coding RNA of Lolium perenne, 7650 nucleotides long. RefSeq lists it as uncharacterized. NCBI's taxonomy places the organism in Eukaryota, Viridiplantae, Streptophyta, Magnoliopsida, Poales, Poaceae. The record is from RefSeq and is a predicted model, not a curated record.